RNAcentral lists this ribosomal RNA (769 nucleotides) under uncultured beta proteobacterium. RNAcentral's name for it is "bacterial SSU rRNA". It matches the Rfam family "Bacterial small subunit ribosomal RNA", at positions 74 to 841 of the family's 1533-position model. The record is from RNAcentral. Lineage: Bacteria; Pseudomonadati; Pseudomonadota; Betaproteobacteria.
AGGGGGCAACCCCUUGAGAGUGGCGAACGGGUGAGCUAAUAUAUCGGAACGUGCCCAGUCGUGGGGGAUAACGUAGCGAAAGUUACGCUAAUACCGCAUACGAUCUAAGGAUGAAAGCGGGGGAUCGCAAGACCUCGCGCGACUGGAGCGGCCGAUAUCAGAUUAGGUAGUUGGUAGGGUAAAGGCCUACCAAGCCAACGAUCUGUAGCUGGUCUGAGGGGACGACCAGCCACACUGGAACUGAGACACGGUCCAGACUCCUACGGGAGGCAGCAGUGGGGAAUUUUGGACAAUGGGCGAAAGCCUGAUCCAGCCAUUCCGCGUGCAGGAUGAAGGCCCUCGGGUUGUAAACUGCUUUUGUACAGAACGAAAAGGUUUCUAUUAAUACUAGGAGCUCAUGACGGUACUGUAAGAAUAAGCACCGGCUAACUACGUGCCAGCAGCCGCGGUAAUACGUAGGGUGCAAGCGUUAAUCGGAAUUACUGGGCGUAAAGCGUGCGCAGGCGGUUAUAUAAGUCAGAUGUGAAAUCCCCGGGCUCAACCUGGGAACUGCAUUUGAGACUGUAUAGCUAGAGUACGGUAGAGGGGGAUGGAAUUCCGCGUGUAGCAGUGAAAUGCGUAGAUAUGCGGAGGAACACCGAUGGCGAAGGCAAUCCCCUGGACCUGUACUGACGCUCAUGCACGAAAGCGUGGGGAGCAAACAGGAUUAGAUACCCUGGUAGUCCACGCCCUAAACGAUGUCAACUGGUUGUUGGGUCUUAACUGACUC